This 558-nucleotide ribosomal RNA is filed under the name actinobacterium MS-B-63. Its description in RNAcentral is "bacterial SSU rRNA". It matches the Rfam family "Bacterial small subunit ribosomal RNA", at positions 150 to 725 of the family's 1533-position model. The record is from RNAcentral. Lineage: Bacteria; Bacillati; Actinomycetota; Actinomycetes.
UUGGAAACGACUGCUAAUACCGGAUGCCGUCGAACCGUCGCAUGGCGGAUCGACGAAAGGGUUACCGGAUCGGGAGGGUCUCGCGGCCUAUCAGCUUGUUGGUGAGGUAACGGCUCACCAAGGCAUCGACGGGUAGCUGGUCUGAGAGGAUGAUCAGCCACACUGGGACUGAGACGCGGCCCAGACUCCUACGGGAGGCUGCAGCAGGGAAUAUUGUGCAAUGAACGAAAGUUUGACACAGCGACACCGCGUGUGGGAUGACGGAUCUAGGUUUGUAAACCACUUUCAGGAGGGAAGAAAAUGACGGUACCUCCAUAAGAAGCCCCGGCCAACUACGUGCCAGCAGCCGCGGUAAUACGUAGGGGGCGAGCGUUGUCCGGAUUUAUUGGGCGUAAAGAGCUCGUAGGCGGUUCAACAAGUCGGUCGUGAAAGUUCAGGGCUCAACCCUGAAAUGUCGAUCGAUACUGUUGUGACUAGGAUACGGUAGAGGUGAGUGGAAUUCCGAGUGUAGCGGUGAAAUGCGUAGAUAUUCGGAGGAACACCAAUAGCGAAGGCAGC